CCUGGGCUGAGACAUACAGGACAGAGCAUGGAUCGCCUACAGACUGCACUCCUGGUUGUCCUCGUCCUCCUUGCUGUGGCGCUUCAAGCAACUGAGGCCCCUACGGCGCCAACAUGGAAGACAGCGUCUGCUGCCGUGAUUACGUCCGUUACCGUCUGCCCCUGCGCGUGGUGAAACACUUCUACUGGACCUCAGACUCCUGCCCGAGGCCUGGCGUGGUGUUGCUAACCUUCAGGGAUAAGGAGAUCUGUGCCGAUCCCAGAGUGCCCUGGGUGAAGAUGAUUCUCAAUAAGCUGAGCCAAUGAAGAGCCUACUCUGAUGACCGUGGCCUUGGCUCCUCCAGGAAGGCUCAGGAGCCCUACCUCCCUGCCAUUAUAGCUGCUCCCCGCCAGAAGCCUGUGCCAACUCUCUGCAUUCCCUGAUCUCCAUCCCUGUGGCUGUCACCCUUGGUCACCUCCGUGCUGUCACUGCCAUCUCCCCCCUGACCCCUCUAACCCAUCCUCUGCCUCCCUCCCUGCAGUCAGAGGGUCCUGUUCCCAUCAGCGAUUCCCCUGCUUAAACCCUUCCAUGACUCCCCACUGCCCUAAGCUGAGGUCAGUCUCCCAAGCCUGGCAUGUGGCCCUCUGGAUCUGGGUUCCAUCUCUGUCUCCAGCCUGCCCACUUCCCUUCAUGAAUGUUGGGUUCUAGCUCCCUGUUCUCCAAACCCAUACUACACAUCCCACUUCUGGGUCUUUGCCUGGGAUGUUGCUGACACCCAGAAAGUCCCACCACCUGCACAUGUGUAGCCCCACCAGCCCUCCAAGGCAUUGCUCGCCCAAGCAGCUGGUAAUUCCAUUUCAUGUAUUAGAUGUCCCCUGGCCCUCUGUCCCCUCUUAAUAACCCUAGUCACAGUCUCCGCAGAUUCUUGGGAUUUGGGGGUUUUCUCCCCCACCUCUCCACUAGUUGGACCAAGGUUUCUAGCUAAGUUACUCUAGUCUCCAAGCCUCUAGCAUAGAGCACUGCAGACAGGCCCUGGCUCAGAAUCAGAGCCCAGAAAGUGGCUGCAGACAAAAUCAAUAAAACUAAUGUCCCUCCCCUCUCCCUGCCAAAAGGCAGUUACAUAUCAAUACAGAGACUCAAGGUCACUAGAAAUGGGCCAGCUGGGUCAAUGUGAAGCCCCAAAUUUGCCCAGAUUCACCUUUCUUCCCCCACUCCCUUUUUUUUUUUUUUUUUGAGAUGGAGUUUCGCUCUUGUCACCCACGCUGGAGUGCAAUGGUGUGGUCUUGGCUUAUUGAAGCCUCUGCCUCCUGGGUUCAAGUGAUUCUCUUGCCUCAGCCUCCUGAGUAGCUGGGAUUACAGGUUCCUGCUACCACGCCCAGCUAAUUUUUGUAUUUUUAGUAGAGACGAGGCUUCACCAUGUUGGCCAGGCUGGUCUCGAACUCCUGUCCUCAGGUAAUCCGCCCACCUCAGCCUCCCAAAGUGCUGGGAUUACAGGCGUGAGCCACAGUGCCUGGCCUCUUCCCUCUCCCCACCCCCCCCCCAACUUUUUUUUUUUUUUAUGGCAGGGUCUCACUCUGUCGCCCAGGCUGGAGUGCAGUGGCGUGAUCUCGGCUCACUACAACCUCGACCUCCUGGGUUCAAGCGAUUCUCCCACCCCAGCCUCCCAAGUAGCUGGGAUUACAGGUGUGUGCCACUACGGCUGGCUAAUUUUUGUAUUUUUAGUAGAGACAGGUUUCACCAUAUUGGCCAGGCUGGUCUUGAACUCCUGACCUCAAGUGAUCCACCUUCCUUGUGCUCCCAAAGUGCUGAGAUUACAGGCGUGAGCUAUCACACCCAGCCUCCCCCUUUUUUUCCUAAUAGGAGACUCCUGUACCUUUCUUCGUUUUACCUAUGUGUCGUGUCUGCUUACAUUUCCUUCUCCCCUCAGGCUUUUUUUGGGUGGUCCUCCAACCUCCAAUACCCAGGCCUGGCCUCUUCAGAGUACCCCCCAUUCCACUUUCCCUGCCUCCUUCCUUAAAUAGCUGACAAUCAAAUUCAUGCUAUGGUGUGAAAGACUACCUUUGACUUGGUAUUAUAAGCUGGAGUUAUAUAUGUAUUUGAAAACAGAGUAAAUACUUAAGAGGCCAAAUAGAUGAAUGGAAGAAUUUUAGGAACUGUGAGAGGGGGACAAGGUGGAGCUUUCCUGGCCCUGGGAGGAAGCUGGCUGUGGUAGCGUAGCGCUCUCUCUCUCUGUCUGUGGCAGGAGGCAAAGAGUAGGGUGUAAUUGAGUGAAGGAAUCCUGGGUAGAGACCAUUCUCAGGUGGUUGGGCCAGGCUAAAGACUGGGAUUUGGGUCUAUCUAUGCCUUUCUGGCUGAUUUUUGUAGAGACGGGGUUUUGCCAUGUUACCCAGGCUGGUCUCAAACUCCUGGGCUCAAGCGAUCCUCCUGGCUCAGCCUCCCAAAGUGCUGGGAUUACAGGCGUGAGUCACUGCGCCUGGCUUCCUCUUCCUCUUGAGAAAUAUUCUUUUCAUACAGCAAGUAUGGGACAGCAGUGUCCCAGGUAAAGGACAUAAAUGUUACAAGUGUCUGGUCCUUUCUGAGGGAGGCUGGUGCCGCUCUGCAGGGUAUUUGAACCUGUGGAAUUGGAGGAGGCCAUUUCACUCCCUGAACCCAGCCUGACAAAUCACAGUGAGAAUGUUCACCUUAUAGGCUUGCUGUGGGGCUCAGGUUGAAAGUGUGGGGAGUGACACUGCCUAGGCAUCCAGCUCAGUGUCAUCCAGGGCCUGUGUCCCUCCCGAACCCAGGGUCAACCUGCCUACCACAGGCACUAGAAGGACGAAUCUGCCUACUGCCCAUGAACGGGGCCCUCAAGCGUCCUGGGAUCUCCUUCUCCCUCCUGUCCUGUCCUUGCCCCUCAGGACUGCUGGAAAAUAAAUCCUUUAAAAUAGU
This 2907-nucleotide long non-coding RNA is filed under the name Homo sapiens (human). Its description in RNAcentral is "HSALNT0231819". Lineage: Eukaryota; Metazoa; Chordata; Mammalia; Primates; Hominidae. The record is from RNAcentral.